This 76-nucleotide transfer RNA is filed under the name Caudoviricetes sp. RNAcentral describes it as "tRNA-Val". It matches the Rfam family "tRNA". Rfam says of the family: Transfer RNA (tRNA) molecules are approximately 80 nucleotides in length. Their secondary structure includes four short double-helical elements and three loops (D, anti-codon, and T loops). Further hydrogen bonds mediate the characteristic L-shaped molecular structure. tRNAs have two regions of fundamental functional importance: the anti-codon, which is responsible for specific mRNA codon recognition, and the 3' end, to which the tRNAs corresponding amino acid is attached (by aminoacyl-tRNA synthetases). tRNAs cope with the degeneracy of the genetic code in two manners: having more than one tRNA (with a specific anti-codon) for a particular amino acid; and 'wobble' base-pairing, i.e. permitting non-standard base-pairing at the 3rd anti-codon position. Lineage: Duplodnaviria; Heunggongvirae; Uroviricota; Caudoviricetes. The record is from RNAcentral.
ACUCGCAUAACUCAAUUGGUAGAGUGCUUCCUUGACGUGGAAGAAGUUGUCAGUUCAAGUCUGGCUGUGAGUACCA